Molecule: RNase P RNA, 385 nt
Filed under: Acidobacteriota bacterium
Lineage: Bacteria; Pseudomonadati; Acidobacteriota
Description: Acidobacteria bacterium (hot springs metagenome) RNase P RNA component class A
Rfam family: Bacterial RNase P class A
About the family: Ribonuclease P (RNase P) is a ubiquitous endoribonuclease, found in archaea, bacteria and eukarya as well as chloroplasts and mitochondria. Its best characterised activity is the generation of mature 5'-ends of tRNAs by cleaving the 5'-leader elements of precursor-tRNAs.
Source: RNAcentral
UCUGCCGGCCGGGCGAUCGCCGCGUUCCCUUCGGGGACGGGGAGGAAAGUCCGGUCUCCGCAGGGCGGCGCGCCGGUUAACGACCGGGGGGCGGUUCUCAAAGGGCCGUUCACGGAAAGUGGCACAGAAAAUGUACCGCCGCGGGCUUCGGUCCGCGGUAAGGGUGAAAAGGUGCGGUAAGAGCGCACCGCGUUCAGGGCGACCUGGAUGGCAGGCCAAACCCCGCGUGGAGCAAGACCAAAUAGGGGGCGAUGCGGCGGCCCGCCGCGCUACGAGUCCCGGGUAGGUUGCUCGAGGCCGUCGGAAACGGCGGCUCUAGACGAAUGAUCGCCGCCGCGGCUUUGGUCGCGGUAACAGAAACCGGCUUACCAGGCCGGCAGACUUC